RNAcentral lists this transfer RNA (73 nucleotides) under Pocillopora damicornis (cauliflower coral). RNAcentral describes it as "tRNA-Ala". It matches the Rfam family "tRNA". From Rfam's summary of the family: Transfer RNA (tRNA) molecules are approximately 80 nucleotides in length. Their secondary structure includes four short double-helical elements and three loops (D, anti-codon, and T loops). Lineage: Eukaryota; Metazoa; Cnidaria; Anthozoa; Scleractinia; Pocilloporidae. The record is from Rfam by way of RNAcentral.
GGCUUGUUAGCUCAAUUGGUAGAGCACUGCACCGGCAUCGCAGAGGUCAUGGGUUCAAAUCCCAUACGGGCCU